UGAACGCUGGCGGCGUGCCUACUACAUGCAAGUCGAGCGAACGGACGAGAAGCUUGCUUCUCUGAUGUUAGCGGCGGACGGGUGAGUAACACGUGGAUAACCUACCUAUAAGACUGGGAUAACUUCGGGAAACCGGAGCUAAUACCGGAUAAUAUUUUGAACCGCAUGGUUCAAAAGUGAAAGACGGUCUUGCUGUCACUUAUAGAUGGAUCCGCGCUGCAUUAGCUAGUUGGUAAGGUAACGGCUUACCAAGGCAACGAUGCCUAGCCGACCUGAGAGGGUGAUCGGCCACACUGGAACUGAGACAGGGUCCAGACUCCUACGGGAGGCAGCAGUAGGGAAUCUUCCGCAAUGGGCGAAAGCCUGACGGAGCAACGCCGCGUGAGUGAUGAAGGUCUUCGGAUCGUAAAACUCUGUUAUUAGGGAAGAACAUAUGUGUAAGUAACUGUGCACAUCUUGACGGUACCUAAUCAGAAAGCCACGGCUAACUACGUG
This 495-nucleotide ribosomal RNA is filed under the name uncultured bacterium. RNAcentral's name for it is "partial 16S ribosomal RNA". It matches the Rfam family "Bacterial small subunit ribosomal RNA", at positions 30 to 507 of the family's 1533-position model. The record is from RNAcentral.